RNAcentral lists this ribosomal RNA (87 nucleotides) under Koenigia polystachya (Himalayan knotweed). Its description in RNAcentral is "partial 5.8S ribosomal RNA". It matches the Rfam family "5.8S ribosomal RNA", at positions 73 to 154 of the family's 154-position model. Rfam says of the family: 5.8S ribosomal RNA (5.8S rRNA) is a component of the large subunit of the eukaryotic ribosome. It is transcribed by RNA polymerase I as part of the 45S precursor that also contains 18S and 28S rRNA. Lineage: Eukaryota; Viridiplantae; Streptophyta; Magnoliopsida; Caryophyllales; Polygonaceae. RNAcentral also lists the same sequence under 2 other names. The record is from RNAcentral.
UGCAGAAUCCCGUGAACCAUCGAGUCUUUGAACGCAAGUUGCGCCCGAAGCCUUCGGGCCAAGGGCACGUCUGCCUGGGCGUCACGC